This is a long non-coding RNA of Nannospalax galili (Upper Galilee mountains blind mole rat), 679 nucleotides long. RefSeq lists it as uncharacterized. The transcript is spliced from 3 exons. The record is from RefSeq and is a predicted model, not a curated record. NCBI's taxonomy places the organism in Eukaryota, Metazoa, Chordata, Mammalia, Rodentia, Spalacidae.
GGCAAAUUGUGAGUAGAUACUCAAAAGAGGGGUUGAUAAUGGGCUGAUUUUCCUGUUUUCACAGAUUUGUUAUAUAAAUGAAUGUUACAUAUAGAAGAGUCAAAGUGAGAUGAAAAAUUGGAGCCAUUGAAAUGCCAGACAGGAUGAAUUCUUGUAGCUGCGUCAAGUAAUACCAAUAUCAUUAAAGCCAAUACUUGAAAGUCAAGGUUGCCAUCACCAAAAUCCAAGAAGCAAUGUCUUAAACAUAAGACAUGAAACCACAAGUCUCAGAAAACAUAGAGGAAAGUUCCUCAACCCUGCUCUCAGCUGAGAGGUUUUGAAAUUGAUACUAAAAGAACAGACAACAAAAGCAAAAAUAAACAGAAAGGGCUACAUCAAACUGAUGUUUCUGCAUAGCUUAAGAAAACGACAAAAUGAGAAGGCGGCCUACAGAACAAAUAAAAAUAUUUCAAGAAAAUAAAUGUCCAAGGAUUGUUUCAGACGUACAGAUUAGAGUGUGCUCCUGCCUGUGUGCUGAUUUGAUUGAUGAGUUGUCACAGUGAGGAGGAAUGAAUUAGAAAUGAAGCUGUCAUACCAAGCUCAUCAGGAUCAAAGGCAUUCCAGCCCUACUUACAGAAGUGUCCAGAGUGGAGUUCUCAGGGCAGCAGAAGGUGCAAACGAACAACAGAGAUGUCCCUGC